AGAGUUUGAUCCUGGCUCAGGACGAACGCUGGCGGCGUGCCUAAUACAUGCAAGUCGAGCGAGCUUGCCUAGAUGAUUUUAGUGCUUGCACUAAAUGAAACUAGAUACAAGCGAGCGGCGGACGGGUGAGUAACACGUGGGUAACCUGCCCAAGAGACUGGGAUAACACCUGGAAACAGAUGCUAAUACCGGAUAACAACACUAGACGCAUGUCUAGAGUUUGAAAGAUGGUUCUGCUAUCACUCUUGGAUGGACCUGCGGUGCAUUAGCUAGUUGGUAAGGUAACGGCUUACCAAGGCAAUGAUGCAUAGCCGAGUUGAGAGACUGAUCGGCCACAUUGGGACUGAGACAUGGCCCAAACUCCUACGGGAGGCAGCAGUGGGGAAUCUUCCACAAUGGACGAAAGUCUGAUGGAGCAACGCCGCGUGAGUGAAGAAGGGUUUCGGCUCGUAAAGCUCUGUUGGUAGUGAAGAAAGAUAGAGGUAGUAACUGGCCUUUAUUUGACGGUAAUUACUUAGAAAGUCACGGCUAACUACGUGCCAGCAGCCGCGGUAAUACGUAGGUGGCAAGCGUUGUCCGGAUUUAUUGGGCGUAAAGCGAGUGCAGGCGGUUCAAUAAGUCUGAUGUGAAAGCCUUCGGCUCAACCGGAGAAUCGCAUGAGAAACUGUUGAACUUGAGUGCAGAAGAGGAGAGCGGAAUUCCCGGUGUAGCGGUGGAAUGCGCAGAUAUCGGGAAGAACACCGAUGGCGAAGGCAGCUCUCUGGGCCGUCACUGACGCUGAGGCGCGAAAGCUGGGGGAGCGAACAGGAUUAGAUACCCUGGUAGUCCCAGCCGUAAACGAUGGAUACUAGGGGUGGGGGGGAUCCCCCCUCCGUGGAGCAGCGAACGCAUUGAGUAUCCUCAGGGGGGAGUAGCGGCAGCAAGGAUAAAAGUCAAAGGAAUUGACGGGGGCUCGCGCCAGCAGCGGAGCAUGUGGCUUAAUUGGUAGCUACGGGGAGAUCCUUUGCAGGGGUGGACAUGCGCAUGAAGCCGUGGAGGCGAGGUGAUCGAGAGGAGGGCGGGCAGGUGGUGCAUGGCUGUCGUCUGAUGGGUGAGGAAGAUGUUGGGUUAAGUCACGCGCAGAGCGCAUCUCCCGUCGCGUGUUGCGAGCAUUAGGUGGGGGAGUCGCGGGAGGUUUCCGGCGUCGAGCGGGGGGAAGGUGGGGAAGACGUCAAGUGAUCAUGCGCUCUAUGCCUUGGCACGCCCGCGUGCUCCAAUGGCGGGUACAGAGGGUUGCCACCCGCGGGAGGGGGAGCGGAUCCCGGAAAGCCGCCCCCAGUUGGGAUGGCCGGGUGCAACCCGCGUGAGUGAAGCGGGAGUAGAGAGUAAUCGAGGAUCAGCUCGCCGCGG
Molecule: ribosomal RNA, 1389 nt
Filed under: uncultured bacterium
Lineage: Bacteria
Description: partial 16S ribosomal RNA
Rfam family: Bacterial small subunit ribosomal RNA
Source: RNAcentral